Molecule: long non-coding RNA, 837 nt
Organism: Perca fluviatilis (European perch)
Lineage: Eukaryota; Metazoa; Chordata; Actinopteri; Perciformes; Percidae
Exons: 3
Source: RefSeq, a predicted model, not a curated record
GCUGUCAUCUCCUGUUUAUCUAAUUGGGGUUCAGAGGACUUGAGUCCGACAGGGAGGGGGCACAGGAGAUGGAGAUGAGGAGGAGGAGGCAGAGAGACAAAGAGACUUCGGGAACAGGCCUAUUAGGAGCCUGAACAGGCGGGAAUAUUUGUGCUGGUCUGCACCUUCAGGGAGCUUGGAGGGUGGAGGACAUCCUGCAGCGUUAAACCUACUGAAGGAUUCUUGGUGCCCAGGUUUACAGUCCUGAUGUGAUGGUUUGAAUUUGCAUGUGCCCUCUGGAUGUGUACCUGAGGGUUCCUUGAAAGUCAAAGGAGACCAGAGACGUGUUCGCCUCAGGAUGGCUAGCAGUGCAUGUGUGUGUAUGUACAGUAUAUAUGUAUGCAAUGGGGAUGCUGCCGACACACAGCUCAAAGGACUCCCAUUGCAGCUCCAGGGAGAAAAAAGAGACACAAAUGCCUUCGUGACUUGUUACAUAGUGAACGGGGUUUCCAAUGCAAGAGUCAUCCGCUGCACGCAUCACACUCAUCUCCCCUGUCCAGCCACUGUGACGCAUAUCUUCCUUGUGUUUCAUCAACCGUCACGCCUCAGGGUGUGUGGUGAGGCAGAUGAUGUGUAGGCAUCCUAAAUCCAGACUAUCUGACCAGGUUCAUGGGAGUUCAGUUUAAGGGGAAGCCCUUGUUAUAAAAGAAUGUUUUCCUUUGACACAGAAAUUGGUUAUUGUUGUAAAGAUACAGUGAUUUUUAAGUUUAAGUUUAUAUUUUUAUAUAUAUUAUGUAUGUAGGUUGUACAUAUUUAUUCUCUAUUUGUAUUGCAUUCUUUUCAUUCCUCAUGGGUAUA